This is a long non-coding RNA of Olea europaea var. sylvestris, 530 nucleotides long. RefSeq lists it as uncharacterized. The transcript is spliced from 3 exons. The record is from RefSeq and is a predicted model, not a curated record. NCBI's taxonomy places the organism in Eukaryota, Viridiplantae, Streptophyta, Magnoliopsida, Lamiales, Oleaceae.
UUUGCUUCUUUAAUGGGCUGAUCAGCGAGUGAAUUUGGCAAAACUAGGAACCAAAUCGUUGUGGAGAUACCGGCGACGCUUCAACCUUGCAAGUGCUAAUCCUACGAAGGAGCAGCUAAUUAAGGCUGUGCAACAACAUUUUUCUUCACAGCAGGUGGACGAGAUACAAGUAAUUGCAGAGUUCAUUAGUACAGCCAAGAGAUUAAAAUCAUUGGACGGACGUUGAGAUUCGAUAGCAGAAAGUCGUGUGUGCCUGUAAUAUAUAUAGUACAUACAUAUGAACCCUUAGUUUAGCUCUAGUUAUUGACUGCUAAUGGAGAAGCUGGCUGUUAUCUAACUUGUUCUCAAACUUCAGAAUAACCUUUAUUUAUGUGCCGUAGUCCGGUUAACAUUAUAUUUCAUAUUCAUGCUCAUCGUAAUUUAUAUAUUAGUCGAAUCUUGUAAAUUAAGGUGGUCGAUUUGGAGCAUGGAUGAUUUUGUGUUCUUGAAUUUUCGGACUUAUAUUGUAUUCACGUGGAAUCUUUGACUUA